UCAUGCUGCGGGACGAAGCCACCAUCCUCACGGGAAUGCUGAUCGGACUGAGCGCCAUCGACUUCAGCUUCUGUCUAAAGGGGGAAGUCCUGGAUGGGAAGACCCCCGUGGUCAUCGAUUACACGCCCUACCUAAAGUUCACGCAGAGCUACGACUACCUGACGGACGAGGAGGAGCGGCACAGCGCCGAGAGCAGCACGAGCGAGGACAACUCGCCCGAGCACCCGUACCUGCCGCUCGUCACCGACGAGGACAGCUGGUAUAGCAAGUGGCACAAGAUGGAGCAGAAGUUCCGCAUCGUCUACGCGCAGAAGGGCUACCUGGAGGAGCUGGUGCGUCUGCGCGAGUCGCAGCUGAAGGACCUGGAGGCGGAGAACCGGCGGCUGCAGCUGCAGCUGGAGGAGGCGGCGGCGCAGAACCAGCGCGAGAAACGGGAGCUGGAAGGCGUGAUCCUGGAGCUGCAGGAGCAGCUGUGAGCGCACGGCCUGCCCUAACCCCUGACCCCGGCCGCCCCGACCACAUCACCGGGUGAACCCCAUGUUCACUUCCACCGACUCUAACAUCACCCGACACGAG
RNAcentral lists this small RNA (576 nucleotides) under Pongo abelii (Sumatran orangutan). Its description in RNAcentral is "retained intron". Lineage: Eukaryota; Metazoa; Chordata; Mammalia; Primates; Hominidae. The record is from RNAcentral.